Urocitellus parryii (Arctic ground squirrel) is the source of this 1878-nucleotide long non-coding RNA. RefSeq lists it as uncharacterized. NCBI's taxonomy places the organism in Eukaryota, Metazoa, Chordata, Mammalia, Rodentia, Sciuridae. The record is from RefSeq and is a predicted model, not a curated record.
AACAACAAAAAAAAACCCCAACAACACCCAUAUUCUCUUUUUUAUGUGGCAGUUGUACAAUGAGUCUGUGGACAGACCACUUUGACUCUUGCUAUUUUAGUAUUUAAAAAGGAGUACCAGAAUACAACUCUUAAGACCAGUAUCUUUCUUACUACCAUUUUAAAGCCAAUCUUUGGGCUUUAGCACCAAGCACUUUUACAAAAACUACCUGAGCCUUUUAAUUCUUAAAUUUCUUCAUCUUGAGCACCAGCUCAGGAUUGCCAUAGAAGGAUUAAAUAAGAGGACAUGUGCUGAGGAGCUUUUGAAAAUUAAAGGCCACCUCAUUAGAUUAUUAUAUAAAAUGCACUGUUUAAUUCUGCUACUAAUUAAAAGUAGUUUGAAAAAGCACCCUAGAGUGAGGACUUAUCUUAGAAAUGAGGGGCCAAGAUCUAAUCAUUUUUCUGAGCAUAAACUUCAACAGUGAGAUGGCUGCCUAGUAAAAACAAUAUCCCAGCCUCUAGUAUACAGAGUGGUGACUAAAUAUAUUAAUAUGAAACUUCUGAAGCAAAUAAGAAGUCAUCACAACAGCAGUUCCUCCUAGUCACUGAUAAAGAAUACUAUUACUCUGAGAAGAAUGUCAAAAGAUCUGCCCAUGUGAAUGCAGUUUGCACUACCACCUCUUUGGACAGCUGUAAGAAGAGAUUCUGGAUGUUUACAAUACUGAAUGAAUUUGGAGCUGGUUCUGUACAUGACUCAAGAGGAAGAAUAACACCUUUUAUAUGGCCACACUGAUGACUGCUAGAGAACAUCGAAAGGACACUCAGAGCAUGUGAGAUUUGAGGACUGCAAGCAGCUGAAAGAAGCUACACAUUCAGCAGACCUUCCCUUUUGAGAGUCUGGACAAGCUCCAGAUGUUCCUCAGAAGAACAGGCUUGUUGCUUUGCAGUGUUAGUGACCUUUUCCCUUUGACGAUCCCCAGGUGGAGAUGGGGCAUGAGGAUCCUCCAGGGGAAAAGCUCACUGCCACUGGGCAACAACCCUGGGUCGGGAGAUUUUACUAAGAUUCUUUCCUGGGUCCAGAUAGGAGAGUGAAGACUCAAAGACAACCACCGCACAUCAAGAUGGGAGAACAUGGACAACAACUACCACUGCAACAACACUGAUCUCCUAAGCAAAUCAUUCUGUUCCAUGUGGUCCCCAAAAUCUCCUUUGAAGCUUUACAGGGGAACUGUGCCAGGCAUUCACAGACUUCAAGGAUGUAACACACAAUCAGCGGUUUGAGAAGAUAAAAGAGAACUGUAUCUCUAUAUGCUAUGCAUGCGGAUUGGCAGAAGACUAAUAAUAAGUACAACUGGAAAUCUGACCAAAAAUGGUAUAGGGUUAUCUCACAUUGGGCAGCAUCUACAGAACCAGGACCCUACACUCUCUAGCUCUCGAUUGAUAAUAUCUGACAAACCAUUAUCCUUCCCAAAAGCAGUACAGAGAGCUGGAUCAUCAUCAGGAUAAAGAAAUGAGAAGACAUCAAAAGGAGCCAAGUUUUCUAUCUGAAGAUCAACAUGCCUGACACUAGCAUUUCAGAACAGCAGAAUUAAGUAAGCUGUUGGGGUUGCAAUCCUAUUUUGUGCCUCUUAUGUCCCUCUCUGUGUCUCGUCUCUAGUCCUUCUUAGUCUCCUCCUGUGAUGGUCUGCCUUUGUUUAUCUCUUUCGCUCCUAAGUGUGCAUUUCUUUGCUUGUCUAUUUCUUCCUUGCUCUUUCUUCUCUAACUUGAGUAGUGUCUGAAUCAGCUCCAUGUUUCUCUUGCUAAUUUCUUCUGUGUGUGCCUUGUCUCACUUUCUCUUUUUGUUCCUAAGUGUGGUCUAUGCACUGUCUUAAAUGGAUCUCUCUAGUUUUUGUUUGCUUGC